This 435-nucleotide long non-coding RNA is filed under the name Hordeum vulgare. RNAcentral describes it as "long non-coding RNA (HVUL_LNC006525)". Lineage: Eukaryota; Viridiplantae; Streptophyta; Magnoliopsida; Poales; Poaceae. The record is from RNAcentral.
GACAGAAGAGAUAGUCUUCUUGGGGAAGAAGACCCCCUUUAUAUAGUGGGGGAAAGAAUCCAACCGUUACCCCCACUGUCAGCCUGAGCACAAUGGUUCUACCGCUGCCUGGUGCGGUACUACCGCUGCGUGGUGUGGUACUACCGCACGCACGGCGAUGGCGGAGGGAGGAACUACUACAUGGGGCAACGAGCGGUAGAACCGCCGGACCGGUACUACUGCACGCCCUUACGGUACUACCGCAGGGUUGUGUCCAACUGCCACGGAAGUAAAAAAAUUACUUCUGUGUCUACCUCCGUUGAGGCUACGGUUGUGCAAAAGUCCGUCGGCACAGUAGUACCGGACAUAGUUGCGGUACUACCGCCGGUGGGCGGUAGUAAAAAACUACGCCCGCUCAUACUAUCGUAGAUGUCCGUAAUCGAGGCUGGUGACAAC